This is a long non-coding RNA of Micropterus dolomieu (smallmouth bass), 696 nucleotides long. RefSeq lists it as uncharacterized. The record is from RefSeq and is a predicted model, not a curated record. The transcript is spliced from 3 exons. Lineage: Eukaryota; Metazoa; Chordata; Actinopteri; Centrarchiformes; Centrarchidae.
AUUUUUGUUACACAAUAUAAUCGAUCGGUGGAUUACUAUGAGGCUUCAUAGAGGCUCACUUUGCACAGCAGAUGUUGUCCACCUGCUACUUGGUAUCUGCCCGCUUGACUGAAAGAAUAUAAAACAGUCAAGGACCUACUUGGAUGCAGUCAAGGAGCCCAGUCAGCGUGAGUCGCCUUCCAUAUCCUGUUCAUCCGUCUGCAAGAUUUGACGGGAGGACAGAUAUUCCCGUUAUCCGCAGUGAUCUACAGUUGCUGAAUAAAGUCAGGCAUACUAAAAGCACUAGCUCAGAAACACAGACGGAAAGCCUCACAUUUAAGAGCAGCACUGGCCUUGACAACAGUGUUGACUCUGUUGUCAUGUAGAGAGUUUGAGAGUGGAUUAAUGAGUCCUAACCUCAGCUCUCAGGUCCAGUGUUUAUUUGAGUAAAAAGAAAAAUCGCUUCCUGUUUGAACCUGCUGGGCAGUUCUGUACGUUCAUUUUUAUGUUAUUUGCCACAGUGAAGGAAUCCUGAACAUGUUUAAACUAUGAAUCUAUUCUGUUUACAGCUUUGUAGUUUUAUUAUGUGCGAGCGAAAUAUGGUUUUAUGCAUUCUAUUUUUGUUCCACUCAGUUAAAUGGGCACUGCACCAAUUUUACACUUGAAGUUCAGUUUACGUGUCAUGAGAAAUAGGUACCAGUGGAAAACAGUUGUAAA